This 339-nucleotide unclassified non-coding RNA is filed under the name soil metagenome. Its description in RNAcentral is "partial contains 5.8S ribosomal RNA, internal transcribed spacer 2, and large subunit ribosomal RNA". The stretch from base 1 to 120 matches the Rfam family "5.8S ribosomal RNA", at positions 35 to 154 of the family's 154-position model. The record is from RNAcentral.
GAUGAAGAACGCAGCGAAAUGCGAUACGUAGUGUGAAUUGCAGAAUUCAGUGAAUCAUCGAAUCUUUGAACGCACAUUGCACCUCUCGGUAUUCCGGGAGGUAUGCCUGUUCGGGCGUCAUUUGUACCCUCAAGCUCUGCUUGGUGUUGGGUGUUUGUUCCGCCUCUGUGUGUGAACUCGCCUCAAAACAAUUGGCAGCCGGCGUACUUGUUUCGGAGCGCAGCACAUUUUGCGAUCCAGAUCAACGUACAGCGGCAUCCAAGAAGCCUUAUUUAACGCUCUUGACCUCGGAUCAGGUAGGGAUACCCGCUGAACUUAAGCAUAUCAAUAAGCGGAGGA